RNAcentral lists this ribosomal RNA (2628 nucleotides) under Triticum aestivum (bread wheat). RNAcentral's name for it is "partial small subunit ribosomal RNA". The record is from RNAcentral. Lineage: Eukaryota; Viridiplantae; Streptophyta; Magnoliopsida; Poales; Poaceae.
AUGGGGAUCCAGGGUUUGCUGCCGCAGCUCAAGUCGAUAAUGGCGCCCAUCAGGGUGGAGGACCUGAGGGGGCAGACGGUCGCCGUCGACACCUACUCCUGGCUCCACAAGGGCGCCCUCUCCUGCGGCGACCGCCUCUGCAAGGGCAUCCCCACCACCAGGCAUAUUGAGUACUGCAUGCAUAGGGUCAACUUGUUGCGGCACCAUGGCGUGAAGCCAAUUCUUGUAUUUGAUGGAGGCUUUCUGCCAAUGAAGAGCGAACAAGAGAUCAAACGUGCAAGGUCACGAAAGGAAAAUCUUGAGCGUGCCAGGGAACAUGAAGCAGCUGGGAAUUCCCGUGCUGCUUUCGACUGCUACCAGAAAGCUGUUGAUAUUACACCUAAAAUUGCUUUAGAACUGAUCCAGGUACUGAAGCAAGAAAAGGUUGAUUAUAUUGUUGCACCUUACGAAGCAGAUGCACAAAUGACAUUCUUAUCUGUCAACAAACUUGUUGACGCUGUAAUUACCGAGGAUUCAGAUUUGAUACCAUUUGGCUGUUCUAGAAUUAUUUUCAAGAUGGACAAAUUUGGGCAAGGUGUUGAAUUCCAGAUAACGCGAUUGGAACAAAACAGGGAGCUGGACUUAAAUGGAUUCACGAAACAGAUGUUACUAGAGAUGUGUAUUUUAAGUGGCUGUGACUAUCUUCCAUCCUUGCCGGGAAUGGGUGUCAAACGUGCUCAUGCACUCAUCCAAAAACUUAAGAGUCAUGAGAAGGUAAUCAAGCACCUGAGGUACAGUGCUGUUUCUGUUCCACCUCAAUAUGAAGAGAAUUUCAAGAAGGCAAUAUGGGCAUUUCAGUUUCAAAGGGUCUAUGAUCCUGCGACAGAAGAUAUUGUUCAUUUGUCUGGCAUUCCUCAUGACCUCAGCGAAGACGACUUUCUGGGCCCAUGGUUACCACAGGCUGUUGUUAAAGGUAUUGCUCUAGGGGAAAUUGAUCCACUUACAAAGGAACCAUUUGAGGCCAGCAUUCCUUCCAGUGCACCUGCUGCUGAUAAAGGUUAUCCGGUCAAGGAGUCUAUUAUUCCUUCAAAUGGAAAGAAGAGGCUAGAAUUGCCUGUGCAGAAAAACAUAUUGACAAAUUACUUCUGCUUAGCAUCGCUUGAGGCAAAACGGAAGUUCAGGGCACCUAAGGUUACACCCAAGCAAAAAAUGUUGAAUGAAUCUUCUUUGCCGAGCCCUCAGACUGAACACUCUGGCACCCCUGAUUCAAUUGAAGACACUAGCUUGCCAAUGAAUAAUAUUCAAUUCUCUCAGUAUAGUUCUGAGCAUUUUAGCUCUGAACCUCCUCGAGAUGAUUCAAUUGAUGCUUCUCAAUGUAGUACUGGUCGUGCCUUCCCCUGGGAUGAUUCAGAUAGUGUUUCACCACACUGUAGUUCUCGUGAUAUUGGCAAUGGUCCUCUUUCUAGGGAUCAACGCAUUGAAGAUGCAGAGGUUGAGGUCAGUUAUUGCAACACAAGUCCAAUGCCAAUAAGUCCUUGCUUAGAGAGGACUUCGCCUGGGAUAGCAGAUCCAUCAUUAGUUUCUCACAACACGGAGCCAUUGAGACCAGUGCCACAUUAUGCUGAAAGUUAUGUGGCUCCUACUGUAAGGAGUUCAUACUUCAAGAAGGAUAAGAGGGUUUUCACAAAUCAAGCAGAAAACCAGUUUGAUGAUGAUGAUGAUAACGCCGAGACUGGCACUUCCACUCUUUCUGGAGUUCAACCGGGGAACCCUGGAGGUGUUGUGAAGAGAAGAAAACUUUGGGAUCCCCAAAAUUUUGAAGACGAAACAUUGCCGCCAACUAGUUCACAUGACAGUCCAGCAGUUGAUGAAGGCUGUGGUACUGAUUCCCUUGAUGACAUCGACACAAAUUCUGAAGGAAGAUUCGGAUGCAAUGUUUCCCAUGUGAAUAAUUACAGUGGCAUUGCGGAGAAAUCGAUGGAUAAGUUUGCUGCACUGAUAUCGUCUUUCAGAUACGCAGGCUCCCGUGCCAGUGGCCUUCGUGCUCCUUUAAAGGAUGUGAAGAAUACCCUUUCUGUGAGAUCUAUUCUCAGACCCCCGGAACAGAACCUCCGGUGUACGGCUAAGAAGACCGCGAGAGGUCAUCGUUCACAAAGCAGAUCCAGAAGUGAUGCCUCGAAUAGCGCCGAUGGUCCUCCUGAUCUGAGCGCGUUUGCACACAGCCCUGUUUUUCUUCCUGAUCUGGGGAAGGUCACCGAUAAAGAUGCACCGGCAAGAUCUACUACUGGUGGUUGUCCUGAUCAAAGCAAGAACACUCGUAAAGCAGUGGGCACUGCUGUCAGUCCUCCUGAUCUGAGCACAUUUGCAUACACACCCACGACUACUGCUAGUCGUCCUGAACGGAGCAAAUUCUCUACAGCUAUAAGAACUGCAGACAGUCCUGAUCUGAGCACAUUUGCAUACCGACCCACGACUACUGCUAGUCGCUCUGAGCAGAGCAAAUUGUCUCCUACAGCUAUAAGAACCGCUGACAGUCCUCCUGAUCUGAGCACAUUUGCAUAUAAAUCCAUGAAACCUUUGGAUGGCAGCAGGUUUGCAGGGACAACAUUAGCAGCUUCUGGACGAAAUUCUCGAGGCCGAUUCACAUAG